This 522-nucleotide ribosomal RNA is filed under the name uncultured archaeon. RNAcentral describes it as "bacterial SSU rRNA". It matches the Rfam family "Archaeal small subunit ribosomal RNA", at positions 325 to 849 of the family's 1478-position model. The record is from RNAcentral.
ACGGGGUGCAGCAGGCGCGAACACUUUACAAUGCGGGAAACCGCGAUAAGGGAACCCCGAGUGCCAGCAUCAAAUGUUGGCUGUCCAGAUGAUUAAAAAUCAUUUGUUAGCAAGGGCCGGGCAAGACCGGUGCCAGCCGCCGCGGUAACACCGGCGGCCCGAGUGGUAGCCGUUUUUAUUGGGUCUAAAGGGUCCGUAGCCGGCCUGAUAAGUCCUUUGGGAAAUCUGGCAGCUUAACUGUCAGGCUUCUAAGGGAUACUGUCAGGCUUGGGACCGGAAGAGGUAAGGGGUACUCCAGGGGUAGGAGUGAAAUCUUGUAAUCCCUGGGGGACCAUCUGUGGCGAAGGCGCCUUACCAGAACGGGUCCGACGGUGAGGGACGAAAGCUAGGGGAGCAAACCGGAUUAGAUACCCGGGUAGUCCUAGCUGUAAACGGUGCUCGCUAGGUGUCAGACACGGUGCGACCGUGUUUGGUGCCGCAGGAAAGCCGUUAAGCGAGCCACCUGGAAGUACGCCGCAAGGC